RNAcentral lists this long non-coding RNA (1230 nucleotides) under Nicotiana benthamiana. Its description in RNAcentral is "long non-coding RNA (NBEN_LNC027682)". Lineage: Eukaryota; Viridiplantae; Streptophyta; Magnoliopsida; Solanales; Solanaceae. The record is from RNAcentral.
AAAGACUUAGGACCGGCUCAACAAAUAUUGGGAAUGCAGAUCACCCGAGACAGGAAGAACCGGAGGUUAUGGCUAUCUCAGGAGAAGUAUAUUGGACGAGUGCUUGCACGGUUCAAACUGAGCCAUGUCGAAUGCUCAAACUACCCCUGAAAAUCCCCUGAAAUUACUAACACUUAAUUAAACUCUAACAGUUAUAACCAAUUACCUAAGCUAACUUAAACAAACUAAGACUAAUUAAUUGAAAUUGAAACUCAAGCUUUAAUGAACACUAAUACCAUAUAAUCAAAACAGUACAUUAACCAUUAUCUAAUAAGUAAAAAUGGAAACUAAAGAAGAACUCAUAUCAAUGGCACCCAAUCAUAUGUCGCAGUCAGAAACAUGAAGGUGUGAAUUAAUAGAAACGAAAUUAGAGACAGGAAAACUGGAAAGAAACCAAAAUCAAAUUAAACUGAACCACCCAAUAAAAUAAAAAUCAAGAAGCUAACCACUGAAUCAAAAAGAAUUGGAAUCAAAAAUCAUGCGAUGAAAUCAACAACCGGAAAUUAAAACUUAGGAGAACAGAAUAAAUCAAAAUAAAAUGGAAUCAAACGAGAUGAAAGAACUUACUGACUUUGGGAGUUGAACGGCUUGAAUUUGAAUUGGGCUCCCAAAUAACAUUAUAAGUUUUGUUCUUGGUGAGAACAACUGUAUGGGGUUAUUUAGGAACUCAAAUCGACCUUGGACAGUCCUCAAAUACAAAUCCCAUAUCUUCCCAUAAACCCUAGAUGUGAAAUUUGAUGAAUUUUGAUUGGAUUUGGGAACACUAGCUUGAGGUUUUAAGUAGAGGAGAGUGGGAGAAGUAUAGGGUGUGAGCCUGGGUGACAGUCCAAUUUUUUUAAAAUUCAAAAGGCUGGGCUAAUAUUUGAACCAUAAUUUUUGGGGCUUUGGAAAGAGGAGACGGAGGGGCUUCAAUAGUGUAAAUUUGGGGCAAUUUGGAGAAGGUUGUGUUGUGGCCGAAGUUUUUUGAUCUGAUAUUCAAAGGUUUUGGUUGAUGUUUGAGGGAAAUUGAAGGUGGAUUUGGAUAGAGGAGGGGAAGAGGAAUUCAGGGUGUUAUUUUGGGGUCGUUUGGAGCUCCGCCGCCAGCGGAUACGAUUUCCGGCCGGCGGAUGAACAUAAGUACGAAGAAGAUGACAUUGGUCUAAGGUUAGUGAGUGAUCUUCAGACAGUUUUAUUAAAUGACCCAUAGUGAAU